UUUUUAAAACAUUCGGAAGAAGCGGUAUAUCACCUUUUCAAAAAGUCUCGAUAAAAUCGCGCGUAAAAUUCGUUAGAAAGUUUUCUCGUCGUUCCUCCUCAAUCUCCUCUUGGUUUUAUCUUGGUGAGCAAAUAAACCAUUCCAUGCGAUGACAAACGAGACUGCGAAGAUCGUUGAGAAGGGUAUAUUUCACGCGUUCGCUCUGGGAUGCGAUGUCUGGCGAAUCGCUCGUAACGAUCGUGUGGGCUUUUUAAUUUUUCAGGAUUACAGGGAACGGUGGGGAACAAAGUGCGCGGGCUGUGGAGAAUACGUGGAGGGCGACGUGGUCACUGCCGGAGACAAGCAUGCCUUCCAUCCCAACUGUUUCCACUGCCAACGAUGCAGACAACCGUUACUCGGACAGGGGACCAAGGUUUCCCUCGUCCAAGGUCAAGCUCUUUGCCACCGAUGCGUCGGUAUCCCUGUCCGAGAGGCCUCGACGCCAAUCGGGAAUAGCUCCGCCACCAGAGGAUCCGGAGACGGGCCCUCCGACCCCGGUGCCUGCGCUGGUUGUGGAAACCAAUUACGAGAAGGUCAGGCUUUGGUAGCUCUCGAUCGACAGUGGCACGUAUGGUGUUUAAAAUGUCACAGCUGUGACACCGUCCUUCACGGAGAGUAUAUGGGAAAAGACGGGGUGCCUUAUUGCGAGAAGGAUUACCAGAAAUUGUUCGGUGUGAAAUGCGCCUAUUGCAAUCGUUACAUCAGCGGAAAGGUGCUGCAGGCAGGUGACAAUCAUCAUUUUCACCCGACUUGUGCCCGUUGUACCAAGUGUGGCGAUCCUUUUGGCGAUGGAGAGGAGAUGUACNNGCAGGGCGCUGCCAUUUGGCAUCCCCGUUGUGGCCCGGGUCCUAGCGGACCCAAUGGUAUCGUGAACGGCCACGGAGAAGCUCACACGCCACAGCAUCGAGAAUCAGAACGGAUUUCCAGCAGCGCAUCGGAGAUGCAGUUUUCAUUGCGGUCACGCACGCCAAGCCUGAACGGAUCACUCUGCAGCCCUUACAGCAGCCUCAGUCGCAAGUAUUAUCCCGCGCGAACUGGAAGUCCCGGAUUGAUAUUGCGAGAAUACGGACGUGGUCCAUCCGAAGAUGUGUCUAGGAUUUAUACUUAUUCGUACUUGACCGAAACGCCGACCCAAGGAUACUUGAGACGUCCGAUACAGCCGUACGACAAACCUCCGACUAGCCCACACUUUCAUAGACCUAGCUCGUCACGUUCGAUAAGAAGCAGUGGCGGACGCAGCAGCCGAUCUGGAAUGCGUGCUCUGGUCGAUGCUCUCAGCGAGACCAGACCAAAGUCACCGGCCAGUCAAGUAGAUAAUGACGAGCCAAUAGAGUUGGCGCAUUAUCCGGACGCCAUGAAACCUCCUCCUGGAACCAAACCGCCGAUCGAGAGAGAUGAUUUUCCCGCUCCACCUUAUCCUUAUACAGAUCCUGAAAGACGUAGACGAUGGUCCGACACUUAUAAGGGAGUACCUGCAUCCGACGACGAGGACGAGGUGGAUAACAAAACUUAUAUAAAGGAGGUGGAGGAGAAGUUGAAGAAAGAACAGGACGAGCUGAGCAAAAUCGAUACUGGAAUAGCGAAAGUGUUUUUGCAAGAUCGUGAAAAGGAUCGAGAGAAUUUGAGACACAGAGCCGCGAACGUUGAUCCUAGAAAUGCGUCGAGAACGCCAUCAGCUGCCAGAGAACCGACUUAUAGACUGCGAUACGAGAGUCCAGUUGGCGCUUCGCCUUCGAGGAACAUAGAUCACGCCAGACCGUGGGAGGACGAUGAUGGUUUCAGUUAUAGAUCUAGCGUAGGACCUAGUUACAACGUUGUGAGCUCCCUUCGGCACAUCCCGAAGCCAGGGUACGGUCUGGCACCGCGAAGUCACACCUUCUCCUCGACCGGCGGUUCUGUUUUUGUCGUCUAGGGUGAUUAUUCGUUCAGUGGGAUGGGAGACAAGACGCACAGCACUGAUUUCUCAUCUGGCAAAUCAGAUAUAUCGACAGGAAGCAUCACGGAUGUGGAUCGACGGGCAUUGAAUGAUGGUGGAAUGCUGCCAUCAUCUACCACGUAUACAGGUGGCCUAGGUUCGGUAGUUGGAAGUCACGGGGGCCAUCACGUGAGGAGAUCACUGCCAGACAUGGGGACAGCACCGUCCGAACCGCCGAAACUCUAUCCUUAUCAUUUACUUGUCAUCACAAACUAUAGGCUGCCCGCUGACGUGGAUCGUUGCAACCUCGAA
This 2266-nucleotide unclassified non-coding RNA is filed under the name Apis dorsata (giant honeybee). RNAcentral's name for it is "actin-binding LIM protein 2, transcript variant X1". Lineage: Eukaryota; Metazoa; Arthropoda; Insecta; Hymenoptera; Apidae. The record is from RNAcentral.